UACGGAGGAUCCAAGCGUUAUCCGGAUUUAUUGGGUUUAAAGGGUGCGUAGGCGGCUUAUUAAGUCAGGGGUGAAAGACGGUGGCUCAACCAUCGCAGUGCCCUUGAUACUGUAAGACUUGAAUUCGAUCGAAGUGGGCGGAAUAUGACAUGUAGCGGUGAAAUGCAUAGAUAUGUCACAGAACACCAAUUGCGAAGGCAGCUUACUAUGGUGUCAUUGACACUGAGGCACGAAAGCGUGGGGAUCAAACAGG
Molecule: ribosomal RNA, 253 nt
Filed under: uncultured bacterium
Lineage: Bacteria
Description: partial 16S ribosomal RNA
Rfam family: Bacterial small subunit ribosomal RNA
Source: RNAcentral